UUCUUGUUCUAAAGUAGCAGAUAUGUUGUUGGAUAAUGGUCUACUCUAUAUGUUAUGUAAUACAGUAGCAGCCUUGAAUGGGUUAGAAAACAACAUUCCUCUGAGUGAAUACAAAUUGCUUGCUUGUGAUAUGCAGCAACUUUUCAUAGCAGUUACAAUUCAUGCUUGUAGUUCCUCAGGCUCACAACAUUUUAGGGUGAUUGAAGACCUUAUUGUACUGCUUGGAUAUCUUCAAAAUAGCAAAAACAAGAGGACACAAAAUACGACUAUUGCACUACAGCUUAGAGUUCUCCAGUCUGCUAUCGAAUUUAUAAGGACCAUUGCAGAUCACGACUCUGAAAACCUUACAGAUCCAUUCUAGUCACCUUCUGCCCUCCAUUAGGUAGUGUUUCAGAAGCAGAAAAGUAU
This is a long non-coding RNA of Galeopterus variegatus (Sunda flying lemur), 408 nucleotides long. RefSeq lists it as uncharacterized. The transcript is spliced from 3 exons. The record is from RefSeq and is a predicted model, not a curated record. NCBI's taxonomy places the organism in Eukaryota, Metazoa, Chordata, Mammalia, Dermoptera, Cynocephalidae.